RNAcentral lists this ribosomal RNA (886 nucleotides) under Sphaerobasidium minutum. RNAcentral's name for it is "partial 25S ribosomal RNA". It matches the Rfam family "Eukaryotic large subunit ribosomal RNA", at positions 62 to 962 of the family's 3401-position model. The record is from RNAcentral. Lineage: Eukaryota; Fungi; Basidiomycota; Agaricomycetes; Hymenochaetales.
NNNNUAACAAGGAUUCCCCUAGUAACUGCGAGUGAAGCGGGAAAAGCUCAAAUUUAAAAUCUGGCGUCCUUCGGGCGUCCGAGUUGUAAUCUGGAGAAGCGUUUUCCGCGCCGGACCGUGUAAAAGUCUCCUGGAACGGAGCGUCAUAGAGGGUGAGAAUCCCGUCUUUGACACGGACUGCCGGUGCUUUGUGAUACGCUCUCAACGAGUCGAGUUGUUUGGGAAUGCAGCUCAAAAUGGGUGGUAAAUCCCAUCUAAAGCUAAAUAUUGGCGAGAGACCGAUAGCGCACAAGUACCGUGAGGGAAAGAUGAAAAGAACUUUGGAAAGAGAGUUAAACAGUACGUGAAAUUGUUGAAAGGGAAACGCUUGAAGUCAGUCGCGUUUGCCGGGAUUCAGCUCCGCUCUUGCGGGGUGCACUUUCCGGUCGACGGGUCAACGUCGGUUUCGAUCGGUGGAUAAAGGUGAGGGGAAUGUGGCACCUCCGGGUGUGUUAUAGCCUCUUGUCGGAUGCAUCGGACGGGACCGAGGACCGCAGCGCUUGCGCUAAGGAUGUUGGCAUAAUGGCUUUAAGCGACCCGUCUUGAAACACGGACCAAGGAGUCUAACGUGCAUGCGAGUGUUAGGGUGGUAAACCCGGACGCGUAAUGAAAGUGAAAGUUGGGAUCCUCGCAAGGGGUGCACCGACGCCCGGCCUUGAACUUCUGUGACGGUGCUGCGGUAGAGCAUGUGCGUUGGGACCCGAAAGAUGGUGAACUAUGCCUGAAUAGGGCGAAGCCAGAGGAAACUCUGGUGGAGGGUUGUAGCGAUUCUGACGUGCAAAUCGAUUGUCGAAUUUGGGUAUAGGGGCGAAAGACUAAUCGAACCNNNNNNNNNNNNNNNNNNNNN